GGCGGAAGCUCUCUGUGAGCUCUACUGAUGGCCAGAUAAGGACAUGGGCAAGUGGGACACCUGGAAUGGGCAGGACCCACUAGGCGGCAGGAGGUGUGGAUGCAACUUGCAGGCCUCAGCUGCCUCGCACACUGGUGGCCGUGCAAGCCCAGCCAGGGCCCAGCAGUAGGAGCCGCUCCCCUUGAUCUCUCAGAAGCCAGGAGCAAGCAAACAGACUCCCAGGGGCCCUGGAGCAGCGUGCAAGAGAGAUUUACUGGGGAGCAGAUGCAGGCGUGGCCUCGAGCUCAGCAUGAAUUUCCAGCACUGGAACUGCCCAGCCCAGCAUGGGGAGCACUUACAGCUGCUGUGACUGGGGUCCCCAGGUCAGACUGCACCGACCGAGACUCCGUGGCGCAGUUCCUGUUGUGCCCAGAUGCUGGGAAGUAUCCGUGUUUGCACCUCAGCUAACAGGGGAGGCAUCCACAGCACCGAGACCCAGGAGAGCCACCUCCAGCCCUCGCGACUCUGGCCCGUACCAUGUGUCGCGACUUGCACGGAGGCAAGCAAUCCCAGGGAGCGGCAGCUGGGACCGGACCGGCGCCGGAUGGCUGCAGCUGCGGCGGAUACCAGAGCCACCCAUGGGCUCCUGGGCCAUUGGUGGCUGUGGGGGCCUGCUGAGCAGACGCUGCCCGAUUCUGUCAGGGCCCUUUCCACCAUGGCCCUCCCCUCUGGCCAGACCAUCAUUUUGGUGCCCCCCGAGAGGCAUGAGCCCCUGAGGCCUCUUCCCCUUGGACCUCUAAAAUUCGUCUAAGCGCUUGGAGUAUGGACACCCUCCUGCCCCAGAGCCAAGCUUCACUGCUUGCCAGGCCAGCGGGGGGAUGGCUGUCAUCCUGGCCAGGCAGGGGGCCCUGGCCUUGAGGAGCAGGCUGGAGACCAGGCCACAUGCAGGCAUCAGGGGGCGUGUCUGCAUGGCCAUCCAGCUGCGACUGGCUCCUGCGUGGGGUGGGCAUACUGCGAGCCCCCCAUGUGGGCACACCUAGUGUCUUGCCUUGGGGGCCCUCUGAUGGGAAACGACUGCAUGCCUGCAGUGGCCCUGCCUGGGCACUGACGCCCAGCUGGCCUGAACGUGCACGCCUGAGCCCUCAGGGUGCCCCUGCUGCUCUCAGGGACCAGGGCCCUGUGUCUCUGGUGCUGCCCUGAAUACACGCCUGAUGGGCGACCAUCCUGGACCUGAGCCGGCAGGGCUGUGCAUGCUGUGGAGACGGCGAGGCCGCAGGCUGGUUCGGAGAGCUUGGCUUUCCCCCUGCGCGUGGAGCCGUCAGUUGGGAUGGCUGCCCUGGGUGAAUACGGCCUCUGGUUUCUGGCUGCCUCCCUCUAACUGCUAGUCUUCUCAGUUAAAGGCUCUUAUUUCAGAAACUAAAAUUGGAGGUUUUAUUAAAGAAGCUAGUGGUGUACCUUAUCAAAACCAAUACUUAUAACUUAUCAUGAAUAGAG
This is a long non-coding RNA of Manis javanica (Malayan pangolin), 1473 nucleotides long. RefSeq lists it as uncharacterized. Lineage: Eukaryota; Metazoa; Chordata; Mammalia; Pholidota; Manidae. The record is from RefSeq and is a predicted model, not a curated record.